UUGGUUCAAUUCUAUUAGAACAACUUUACUAGGAAACAAAUCUCUUUACAUAAAGCGGAUAUAUAUACGGCUUUGCCGUCAUAGACGGGGACAUUCGAUCCUCUUCUCCAUUUGAGCGUUAAGAUAAAUCUCACGAUCUCUUCAAAAGAACGUCUCUUCUAUCUCCCUUUUGCUUGGUCCGGGUCACGACUCGUUAAUCACUCAUCCUCGUGACGCUCGUUGGCUUCUCUUUUAAGAAAGUUCAGCAGCUCUCAAAUAAUCUUUGUCACAUUGAAUCCUCGGGCAACGAAGCAAUAGUUGUGUAUUCCUCCAUUAAACUAUCAUCCUUCUCUUAUCACGUUUCCUUGGACCAUAUUCAGACAACCGUAUUAUUAUCCACUUUAUCAAGAAACCCAUCUCCUUAUGACAAGCUCUCUAUUUAACAACCGAACGUGAAUCAACACCUCUUUUUAUGAUGAAAAUGCAACGCAAUCAUAACAAAAAAAGAAAAUAGGUUAGUACAAAGCAAAAGCAAACAACAAUAGAACACCUAUUACGGUGAAUACUAGGGAAUCGAAGUUGUUCUACCUAGGGUGGGCUCCUAAGGUUCACUACAUGAGGUUUGGUUCUAAAGCAAAGGUACCCGAACCAGCAGAUUCCUCGAUCCUCACCCAUUAUAGGCUCAUACGGACCGAGUUCAGUUCAGGGGAAUACAUUUCCCUAUAGCUUCACGGAGAUGAAAAUCUCACGAAAACAUAGGUACGGAUGUAUCCUGAAAGCGAUCCACUAUCCUGCACGGAGGUGAAGACCUCACGAAGGAAAUAGCUUCUCACUCCCACUUAAAAGGGUGUGACCAAUGGUCAUGCAAUGCAAUGCAGAGAUAUAAAAAUAAAAUACAAAAUAUGAUGAAAAAUAUGACUCAAAACAAAAGAGAUGCAACGAGAGUAUCGUAAAUUUAAAUCAAAUUUUUAACUUUCGACAAAAAGACGAGAAAUAAUCAACACGUGGCUUGACUCUCUUAUUUUGUCCCCAGUGGAGUAGCCAAGCUGUUGACACCAUUUUUUUGAUGAAAACGGGGUCGACUUGGAUUUUGAAAAUGAAAACAAAAACGAGAGUCGCCACCAAUCCUUUUUUGAUGAGGUGUGACCGGGUCACCUCGAAAAGUGGUUAUUUUUAAUAAACGAUUUAAUUUUUAUUAAAACAACGAUUUUGGUCUACGAAAUUCAGAAAAACGGGUUCGAGAGUCGGUUACACACGAGGAAGGAUUAGCACCCUCGAUACGCCCAAAAUUGGUACCUAGUUGAUUACUUAAUGUCUUGGUGUCGAAAAUUGAGAACUUUAAAGAAUUUAAAAAUACGAUCCUUCUUUAUGCGUGUUAUUUUAAAAUUACUCGGAUAAAUCAAAAUGGAAAAAUGCCUUCUUAUCUCGAAGUAACAAGAUGUCACAUCCAGUAAGUUAGGACACAACACAUUGUAUUUUCGAGAGUAAGCUUGCCUUUAUUUUUUGUUUGAACCUCAUUUAUUUCAAUUUUAAAAGGAUAUUCGGUUAUUUAAGUUCAAUACGAGAAAAAUCGAAACCCAGUAAGUUAGGGCACGACUUCUCGAAUUUCUAAAUACAGAAUAUUGCCUUUAUUAAUUUUUAAAAAUCCUCGUCUCGAGAAAACAACGUGUCAUAUUCAAUGCGUUAGGACACAACGUAUUGAAUUCCCGAUAAUGAGCUUUUUAUUUAUGUUUUCUUUAUUAAAGAGGAUUCUCGAUUAUUUAGAUUCAACGAAAAAAAUUAAAACCCAGCACGUUAGGGCCUAAUUCCCUCGAAGAUCCCAAGUAUCGAGUAUUGCCUUUAUUUCUAAAAAUUUUAUGUUUUAGAAAUUUAAAAGGAUAUUUUGCUAUUUAGGUUUAACGAGAAAAUCGAUGCCCAGUAAGUUAAGGUACAAUUUCUCGAAUUUCUAAACGUAAAAUAUUGCCUUGUUUAAAAAAUUUCUUUUUGAUGUAUGGUGCUAAAAUGCAUGGCGAAACAAUAAUGAAUAUGAUAGCAUAAAAACAACACGAGUAAUAGCAACAAAAAGAAGAUUAUUAAAUAUAAAUAAUAAUGAAAAUGAAGAUAAAUAAAUAACGAAUAGAUUGUAAAAAAUGUAUAUACAUGAAUGUACACAAAAUUAUAAAAAUAUGAAAAAUCUAUGUAUAUAUACAUAUUUUAAAAUUAUUAAGUAUAAAAAAUGUAUAAGGAUAUAUAUAUAUAUAUGUAUAUGUAUAUGUUGUAGAAAUGUACGCAUGUAUAUAUACGUAUGCUUUGAAAUUAUAAAAUAUAAAAAAAACAUUUAUGUGUAUGUAUAUGUAUGAGUUAUAAAAUAUACAUGCAUGUCUAUACAUGUAUUAUAAAAACGUAUGUAUAUAAGUGUACACAUAUAUGUAUAUAUAAAGUAUAUAAAUAAUAUAUAUGUAUAUAUAUAAAUAAAUUUAAAAAAUAUGUACGUAUGUAUGUGUUUAUAACAAAAUGUAUGUAUGUACAUAUAUACAACAAAAUUUGGAAUUAAAAUGACAUAAAUAAGUAAAUAAUAAUAAUAAUAAUAAUAACGUAAUAUAAUAGUAAUAAUAAUAUUAAAAUAAUUAAUUUAAUGAUAAAAUAACUGAAAUAAUAAAUAAAGGAUUAAAUGGAAAACUAAACUAAAAUUUGGGGUUUAAAUUCGCAAAUAAGUAAAAGAGGCGAUUCGGGGCUGAAAUGGAAUGCGCCUAAAGGCUGGAGGACUGAUCAGGAAAUAUGCCCCAGUCCCAGAGUGCAGCGUUUCAAUGCAAAUGACCGCAGAUGGUCAAGGGACCUGAUUGAAGCAAAAACAAAAUUCGCAGCCCAAAUCUAAAAGAAACAAAAAGUUAUAUUGCACCUCAGCGCAAGAUGGAGGGACUAAAUGCAUAAAUUACCC
RNAcentral lists this long non-coding RNA (2896 nucleotides) under Gossypium raimondii (Peruvian cotton). Its description in RNAcentral is "long non-coding RNA (GRAI_LNC005907)". The record is from RNAcentral. Lineage: Eukaryota; Viridiplantae; Streptophyta; Magnoliopsida; Malvales; Malvaceae.